CCAGCACCUUGAUCUUGGACUUUCCAGAGUCCAGAACUGUACUCAUCUGGCUUUUUUUCCCCCCCAAAUGUGAGCAAGAGAGGGAAGCUGACAUCUUGUUCCUGGGUUGGGCACCUGCUGAGUCACUGGACCUGCUGAUCUGCCCCAGUGCUGUCUGAAUGGGGGAAGAGCAGAGUGGGAGACCGAAUGAUGUCCUCCAAUUGUGCAUCUAAAAAGCCCAAAGCACCAGUUGGGGAAAGAUGUAUUCUCCAUGGAAGAUGCUGCAGAGAUGCUGGGGCAGGCAUGAAGGGAGAACACAAAGAGAAAAUUCUCUUUGUCAGGCCAGUCUGGACUUGCUUACAUGGCAAUGGCAGGGUUCCAACAGAGAGUGGAAGCACAGAAGUUCUCUUGAGGCCUAGGAUCUGAACUGGCACAUUGCUACUUUGACUUCAUUCUACUGGCAAAAGCAAUCCAGAUUCAAGAGG
This is a non-coding RNA of Microcebus murinus (gray mouse lemur), 464 nucleotides long. NCBI's taxonomy places the organism in Eukaryota, Metazoa, Chordata, Mammalia, Primates, Cheirogaleidae. The record is from RefSeq and is a predicted model, not a curated record.